UACGGGGGGUGCAAGCGUUGCUCGGAAUCACUGGGCGUAAAGCGUCCGCAGGCGGACGCGCAGGUCGGGUGUGAAAUCCCGGGGCUCAACCCCGGAACUGCAUUCGAAACCGCGCGUCUCGAGUACGGGAGAGGGUAGCGGAAUUCCUGGUGUAGAGGUGAAAUUCGUAGAUAUCAGGAGGAACACCGGUGGCGAAAGCGGCUACCUGGCCCGAUACUGACGCUCAUGGACGAAAGCGUGGGGAGCAAACAGG
This 253-nucleotide ribosomal RNA is filed under the name uncultured bacterium. Its description in RNAcentral is "partial 16S ribosomal RNA". It matches the Rfam family "Bacterial small subunit ribosomal RNA", at positions 524 to 776 of the family's 1533-position model. The record is from RNAcentral.